CUGAGUGUUAGUUUUAAAUAGACUAUUGACAAAUUACAGAUUUUUUUCACGUAUUGAAAUUAUAUUCCAGAUGAUUUUGAGAUUUACUGGUAUAAUAUUCUCCUCAUGAGGUAGGAUGGAAGGGAAGAAAUAGAGAAAAAAUGUUCUGCUCUGAAAUAAAUGUGGUGUUUCCUGACAGCGUUUGUCAAGGAAGGAAAGGUCGAAAAUAAAGCACUGAUGGAAAUACAUGAUAAAUAAGUAUUGCCGGAGAGUUUCUGCAAUAUGCUACUGCAGUCCAUAUGCUUAUCAAUUAUGAGGAUUUUUGGCUUUCGGCUCUGGAAAAUAUGAGAAAUAUGGGCAAUUACUCUCUGAAGAAAGUUGGUAUUCUGGAGCCAAUGCACAUUUAAUAAUGAAUGUUUUUUCUUUUAUUUCUUUUCUUUCUCUCUUUCUCUCUCUUUUUUUUUUUUUUUUUUUUUUUUUUGACAAGGUCUGACUCUAUUGCCCAGGCUGAAGUGCAGCGGCACCAUCUCAGCUCACUGCAACCUCCACCUCCUCAGCUCACGUCAUUUUCCCACCUCAGUCUCCACAGUAGCUGGAACUACAGGCAUACACCACGUGUGUUAGGCUAAUUUUUGUAUUUUUUUUGUAGAGAUGGGGUUCCACCAUGUAGCCCCGGCUGGUCUUGAGCUCAUGAGCUCAAGCGAUUCACCUGCCUCAGCCUCCCAAAGUGCUGGGAUUACAAGUGUGAGCCACCAUUCCUGCCUCUAUACCUCUAAAGGUAUUAGUUUUCCCUAGGUGUUGAAUAAUUUGAAUGGGAAUUUGAAGGUCCAUGGCUUCCAAACCAGCAGGAGUUAAGGCUUAAUUGCUUGGAAAUACAUUUUCAUGGCUGAUACCAGUAACAGAAAAAUGUCUGUAUGUCAAGAGGCUCUGUACUAAUCAGUUAACCAUAACAUGUGCCACCCCAUACCUUGGGCCAAUGUAACUGUUAACAGCUUGAAGCUAUUAAAAAUGUACCAAUGGAGAACUUUCUUAUACUUUUUUCACUAAUGUGCUUCUUCACUCUAAAUAAAGGAAUAGAUAAAUUUUAUACUUAACUACUGUCAGAGAAAAGGAAAGUACCUUCGCUUAGUUUGAGCUUCAAAACAUUACAUCCAAUGGUGUUCAUUAAGGUAACACUUUGAAAGUCACUCAAUUGCUAAUAUGCUCUCUCUGCGUCAACUCAGAGGCUGCCUAUUAGAUCUAGUUACACUCCAGAGACAGGGAUUUGCUUUCCAGCUCUAGAGAUCAGGUCAAGAAUUGCAAUAACAAUUAGUAAUUAGUAGUUAGAUCUCAAUUUACCACAUUAGAAGGUCACUCCUCUGAAGCAUUUGGUCUCAUGAGAGGAAAGGAAUACAGGAGACCAUCAACUGUUGACACUUUGAAAUCAAGAAAAGAAUCUAAGAUUCUCCUUGAAAUUGAGUGAGCCACCGUGCCCAACCUCUACUGGCCAUCUUCUUAACACAGUUAUCUUCUACUAUCCUCCACCUACCUCCUCGUCAACAUCUGAUUCUCCUAACUUUCAAGUAUAUCUUGCACGUGUGCCUUUCUCCA
RNAcentral lists this long non-coding RNA (1569 nucleotides) under Homo sapiens (human). RNAcentral describes it as "non-protein coding LINC01781:12". Lineage: Eukaryota; Metazoa; Chordata; Mammalia; Primates; Hominidae. The record is from RNAcentral.